RNAcentral lists this long non-coding RNA (431 nucleotides) under Phascolarctos cinereus (koala). RNAcentral's name for it is "lncRNA (ENSPCIG00000012612.2)". Lineage: Eukaryota; Metazoa; Chordata; Mammalia; Diprotodontia; Phascolarctidae. The record is from RNAcentral.
CUGAAAACCACUUCAGGAUAGAUGAAUCUCUUAGGUUUUAUCAUAGGAUUUAGAGUUGAAAGGUACUCAGAGGUCAUCUGGCCCAACCAUUUUCAUUUCUAGAUGAAGUUAAGGAUUAAGAUGCUGAGACUGCCAUAAAGGAUGAAAACUUUAGAGUCAAACAUCACUUAUCAAGGUCACAUAGCUACAGAAAUUAAUGGCAGAGCCCAGUCUUCGAAUAAAUACAACAGAGAAAAGAUGGUCCUUCACAGUGCCUCACAUGCUAUUACUAAUUGAACCAACAACAGAGGAUUAUUGAACUAAUAAGUAAUGGAAACCCAUUUAUUGAAAUACAUGGCCAAGAGGACCUUGAGAUUUCCAGAAAUGGAACCUUCAGGUAAAAUAUAUUUUUUAAAAAGAACUUCCUCAUUUGCGCAUUAUAGAAAAGAGGA